RNAcentral lists this ribosomal RNA (253 nucleotides) under uncultured bacterium. RNAcentral describes it as "partial 16S ribosomal RNA". It matches the Rfam family "Bacterial small subunit ribosomal RNA", at positions 524 to 776 of the family's 1533-position model. The record is from RNAcentral.
UACGAAGGGGGCUAGCGUUGUUCGGAAUCACUGGGCGUAAAGGGCGCGUAGGCGGCUUUGUAAGUCGGGGGUGAAAGCCUGUGGCUCAACCACAGAAUUGCCUUCGAUACUGCAUGGCUUGAGACCGGAAGAGGUAAGUGGAACUGCGAGUGUAGAGGUGAAAUACAUAGAGAUGUCAUAGAACACCGAUUGCGAAGGCAGCUGACGAAACUAUAACUGACACUGAGGCUCGAAAGUGCGGGGAUCAAACAGG